AUUGAACGCUGGCGGCAGGCCUAACACAUGCAAGUCGAGCGGAUGAAGGGAGCUUGCUCCUGGAUUCAGCGGCGGACGGGUGAGUAAUGCCUAGGAAUCUGCCUGGUAGUGGGGGAUAACGUCCGGAAACGGGCGCUAAUACCGCAUACGUCCUGAGGGAGAAAGUGGGGGAUCUUCGGACCUCACGCUAUCAGAUGAGCCUAGGUCGGAUUAGCUAGUUGGUGGGGUAAAGGCCUACCAAGGCGACGAUCCGUAACUGGUCUGAGAGGAUGAUCGGUCACACUGGAACUGAGACACGGUCCAGACUCCUACGGGAGGCAGCAGUGGGGGAUAUUGGACAAUGGGCGAAAGCCUGAUCCAGCCAUGCCGCGUGUGUGAAGAAGGUCUUCGGAUUGUAAAGCACUUUAAGUUGGGAGGAAGGGCAGUAAGUUAAUACCUUGCUGUUUUGACGUUACCAACAGAAUAAGCACCGGCUAACUUCGUG
This 484-nucleotide ribosomal RNA is filed under the name uncultured bacterium. Its description in RNAcentral is "partial 16S ribosomal RNA". It matches the Rfam family "Bacterial small subunit ribosomal RNA", at positions 30 to 507 of the family's 1533-position model. The record is from RNAcentral.